GUGGGGAAUAUUGGACAAUGGGCGCAAGCCUGAUNCAGCCAUGCCGCGUGUGUGAAGAAGGCCUUCGGGUUGUAAAGCACUUUCAGUGGGGAGGAAGGCCAGUAGGUUAAUACCUUGUUGNAUUGACGUUACCCACAGAAUAAGCACCGGCUAACUUCGUGCCAGCAGCCGCGGUAAUACGAAGGGUGCAAGCGUUAAUCGGAAUUACUGGGCGUAAAGCGCGCGUAGGUGGUUUGUUAAGUCGGAUGUGAAAUCCCCGGGCUCAACCUGGGAACUGCAUUCGAAACUGGCAAGCUAGAGUCUGGUAGAGGGGGGUGGAAUUCCNGGUGUAGCGGUGAAAUGCGUAGAGAUCGGGAGGAACACC
This 364-nucleotide ribosomal RNA is filed under the name gamma proteobacterium SCGC AAA028-G03. RNAcentral's name for it is "bacterial SSU rRNA". It matches the Rfam family "Bacterial small subunit ribosomal RNA", at positions 354 to 710 of the family's 1533-position model. Lineage: Bacteria; Pseudomonadati; Pseudomonadota; Gammaproteobacteria. The record is from RNAcentral.